RNAcentral lists this transfer RNA (77 nucleotides) under Hyphomicrobiales bacterium. Its description in RNAcentral is "Rhizobiales bacterium (bioreactor metagenome) tRNA-Arg". It matches the Rfam family "tRNA". Rfam says of the family: Transfer RNA (tRNA) molecules are approximately 80 nucleotides in length. Their secondary structure includes four short double-helical elements and three loops (D, anti-codon, and T loops). RNAcentral also lists the same sequence under 3 other names. Lineage: Bacteria; Pseudomonadati; Pseudomonadota; Alphaproteobacteria; Hyphomicrobiales. The record is from RNAcentral.
GACCCCGUAGCUCAGCAGGAUAGAGCAUCAGAUUCCUAAUCUGAGGGCCGUGGGUUCGAAUCCCGCCGGGGUCACCA